GAUGAACGCUGGCGGCGUGCCUAAUACAUGCAAGUCGAGCGAACAGACGAGGAGCUUGCUCCUCUGACGUUAGCGGCGGACGGGUGAGUAACACGUGGAUAACCUACCUAUAAGACUGGGAUAACUUCGGGAAACCGGAGCUAAUACCGGGUAAUAUAUUGAACCGCAUGGUUCAAUAGUGAAAGACGGUUUUGCUGUCACUUAUAGAUGGAUCCGCGCCGCAUUAGCUAGUUGGUAAGGUAACGGCUUACCAAGGCAACGAUGCGUAGCCGACCUGAGAGGGUGGUCGGCCACACUGGAACUGAGACACGGUCCAGACUCCUACGGGAGGCAGCAGUAGGGAAUCUUCCGCAAUGGGCGAAAGCCUGACGGAGCAACGCCGCGUGAGUGAUGAAGGUCUUCGGAUCGUAAAACUCUGUUAUUAGGGAAGAACAAAUGUGUAAGUAACUAUGCACGUCUUGACGGUACCUAAUCAGAAAGCCACGGCUAACUACGUG
Molecule: ribosomal RNA, 497 nt
Filed under: uncultured bacterium
Lineage: Bacteria
Description: partial 16S ribosomal RNA
Rfam family: Bacterial small subunit ribosomal RNA
Source: RNAcentral